ACUUGCAUUUUUGAACUUAAAUUUUAGUUCUUGAUUUUUUUUUCUUAAACUGAUUUUAUUCAAUAUUUCCAUCGGCGAAAUACUUUCUUCAUUUCUAGCAUUUUUGUGACAUUAAAUGAAACACACUUUUUACCAUUUUUUGAAAUUAGUUCAUAAAAAUAACAUCUAAUCAAGAUGUUAUACCAAGAUGUUACACCAAGAUGUUACACCAAGAUGUAACACCAAGAUGUUACACUGAGAUUUUACACCGAUAUGCUACAUCAAGAUGGUACACCAAUGUUUAAUAUUGUUAUUUAACUUUAAAGCCUAAACCACACAUUCACGAUAUUUUCAAAAUAACUUUCAUUUACUGUAACAUUGUUCUCAAAACAUGCUCAAUCACUUCUGAACUAUCACAAGCAUCAAUCAUUUCUGAUUGAUGCAGCUAAAACUAUUUACGUAUAAAAAAAGUUUAAAUAUACUGACCUAUCAAAUGUCUUCGUUAUAUUUAACUUAGUAAACCUACAUUUAGAACAUUUAUUUGGUAAAGCAAUGUUUGGAACAAUUUUCAAUGUUAUAAUGAUGCCUAACACAAGUGUAAAAUGCAUUAUAUUAUCAAUGAGCAAACUGCGUAUAAGAGUACCAGUUAGGGGGCUGUGCAAUGAAUAAAACAUUUGAUGCACUGAUACAAUUACAGAGAUUGAUGGAGACAGUGUUUGAAGUGAUAGACAGUUUUGACAACAACGGCAGUGUUUUGUUAAUGGAAAAUGUAGCUACAUGCAAUAGAAUUGUUUCAAAUGACCAGCUACAUAGAAAAGUCACAAAAUAAAGAACAUAAAGAUGAAAUUUUAUAUCAAAUUGUCCUACCAAUAGAUUUAAGACUAUAUUUUAUUGAACCAACAAACAACUUUGAUAAAGUUAACAGUAUUUUUGAAAAAGAUUACGUUAAACUUCUUUAAAGCAAACAAUUCGAAUCUAUAUAAUAAUGUUAAACUUAAUAACAGUACUGGCCUUCCGUGUUUAAUACAGAACUCUUGGCAGCAACUGCAACCAAGGUAAUGGCGAGAAAGAAUCACAGCACUUUUAUUUAGUAAGAAAAUUUGAACUAAAGUGUGUACAAAUAUCUAACUUAUGUAAACUUCAAACUAUAUAAUGUUAAAACAUAUAUCAGGUUAUAAUAACAUACUUCGUUUUAA
Molecule: long non-coding RNA, 1175 nt
Organism: Hydra vulgaris (swiftwater hydra)
Lineage: Eukaryota; Metazoa; Cnidaria; Hydrozoa; Anthoathecata; Hydridae
Source: RefSeq, a predicted model, not a curated record